This 74-nucleotide transfer RNA is filed under the name Microgenomates group bacterium ADurb.Bin219. Its description in RNAcentral is "tRNA-Ile". It matches the Rfam family "tRNA". From Rfam's summary of the family: Transfer RNA (tRNA) molecules are approximately 80 nucleotides in length. Their secondary structure includes four short double-helical elements and three loops (D, anti-codon, and T loops). The record is from RNAcentral.
GGACCAGUAACUCAGCGGUAGAGUACGUCUCUUAUAAAGACGGAGUCCUUGGUUCGAAUCCAAGCUGGUCCACC